CAAUAGCGUAUAUUUAAGUUGUUGCAGUUAAAAAGCUCGUAGUUGGAUUUCGGAUAGGAACGAAUGGUCCGUCAAUGAUGUGUACUGUUUGUUCCUAUCUUUCUGUCAAUGCGGCAUUAUGGCCUUCAUUGGUUGUAGUGUGGCGGUUGACGCUGUUACUUUGAAAAAAUUAGAGUGUUCAAAGCGGGCUUACGCAUGAAUACAUUAGCAUGGGAUAACAUUAGAGGACUUUGUUCCUAUUUUGUUGGUCUUCGGGAACGAAGUAAUGAUUAAGAGGAACAGUUGGGGGCAUUCGUAUUUCAUUGUCAGAGGUGAAAUUCUUGGAUUUAUGAAAGACGAACUUCUGCGAAAGCAUUUGCCAAGGAUGUUUUCAUUGAUCAAGAACGAAAGUUGGGGCUCGAAGACGAUCAGAUACCGU
This 418-nucleotide ribosomal RNA is filed under the name uncultured eukaryote. RNAcentral's name for it is "bacterial SSU rRNA". It matches the Rfam family "Eukaryotic small subunit ribosomal RNA", at positions 592 to 1018 of the family's 1831-position model. The record is from RNAcentral.